GUCUCGCUUAACCACACUCUAUUUCGCCGUGUCCGGAUCCAGAAGUAUGUGUGAGACGGCGGGAGACUCUAGAUAUGUACCUAAAAUCGUAUGAUAAUGUCACCAGCCGUGUAAAAAUAAUACUAUAACACUUAAACCAAUGCAGUGCACACGAUAAGUAAACCUUUCAACCACUACAUACUAUCAUGCCAUAAUUUAAUAUCAAUGGUCAGAUGAAAACGCGCCAAAUACAUAUACUGGAAAUUAAAAAGCUGCUAAUAUGUGAACAAAUCGAAGUAGGAUCCCAAAAGCAAACCAUGUCAUAUCUUUCCUUCAGAUCCGCAACUAUAGAGUGUGGGAAAAGGAUCGAAAGUAGCGUCCGAUAGCAUACUAAUAUGUCUCCCAUUCAGGUACGCAAACCUAGAAUUUAAACGCGAGAAUCAAAGAAACAAAAUUUCAAUUUCUGAGGAACAGUCCGGAGCAGUCUGUAGAGAGUUGAGAGGAAUAUCAAUGGACUUCCAUGCCAUUCAAGACGUCUGCCAUGGAGAUGAUGCAAAUGGUAAAGUACUGCAGUUCAUGCAGCGACACCAUCUUGUAUCAAGUCACGAAGACUGCGUUUGUGGAACACCAAUGAACAUACAAAUAUUCUUGUGGCGGAGACGGCUUCAUAUGGAAGUGUCCAAGAAUGGCCUGCAAGGCAAUAAGGUCAGUGAAAUAUGGAUCAUUUUUUCCAAGUCUAAUAUUCUACUGCUAAAGUACCUUCUGUCCAUGCUUUAUUAGGCAUAUGAUGACCACAUGAUGGAGACUUGCGAAAGCAUGAAACUGUGUCCUCGAACGGGAGUGCAAGUAUUCCAAUAUAUCCGAGGUAUUUGCACUUGGAGACUGCUGCACACACCAAUUCAAUUAGGAGGAGCUGUGGGUAUUCAUCACCAAGUCUGUCAGAUAGAUGAAUCGUGUUUUUCACACAAACUGAAGCACCAUCGUGGACACCCACCACGUCAACCAGUCUGGGUUUUUGGGAUAGUGGAGACUUCACAUUUCCCUGCCCUUUGGAUACAUGGAAAUCAUGGCAAGGAGAGACGCUUUAACACUCCUUCCCAUCAUUUGAACACACGUAUUACCAAACACCGUGAUACAUUCCGACGAAUGGCGAGCGUAUCAUACACUUAGCACAGUUCCCAACAUUGCAGGCCACCUCAAUGUCAACCACAGCAUACACUUUCGUGAUCCGAUGACAGGAGUCCAUACGAAUCACAUAGAGUCAUACUGGAACAGAGUCAAAUUGCGGCUCAAGCGCAUGAAAGGAUGCCAUCGGCACAUGCUAUCGUCAUAUCUUGACGAAUUCAUGUGGCAAGAGAGGUACGAAUGAACAAGAUCAGAGGCACUGCAAAACCUGAUGAUAGGAGACAUCGCAGCAUGCUAUCCUGUCCCUCACUAAACUAUCAGAAAACAGAACUGAGUGUAAGACACAAGUCGUAAGAAAGUUGCCUACCGUAGUCAUAGAAGUAGUGUAGUAGCAAUACAUGUGUCCUCACUAAGAUGGCUAAGCCAAUUGAUAUUAAUAAUUCUCAUGAUUUGGUUUGU
This is an RNA transcript of Corticium candelabrum, 1563 nucleotides long. RefSeq lists it as uncharacterized. The record is from RefSeq and is a predicted model, not a curated record. Lineage: Eukaryota; Metazoa; Porifera; Homoscleromorpha; Homosclerophorida; Plakinidae. The transcript is spliced from 3 exons.